This 403-nucleotide ribosomal RNA is filed under the name Anaerolineaceae bacterium. RNAcentral describes it as "bacterial LSU rRNA". It matches the Rfam family "Bacterial large subunit ribosomal RNA", at positions 2524 to 2925 of the family's 2925-position model. Lineage: Bacteria; Bacillati; Chloroflexota; Anaerolineae; Anaerolineales; Anaerolineaceae. The record is from RNAcentral.
CCUCGAUGUCGGCUCAUCGCAUCCUGGGGCUGGAUAAGGUCCCAAGGGUCGGGCUGUUCGCCCGUUAAAGCGGUACGCGAGCUGGGUUCAGACCGUCGUGAGACAGGUCGGUCUCUAUCCGCUGUGGGCGUAAGGGAUUUGAGAGGAGCUGCCCCUAGUACGAGAGGACCGGGGUGGACAGACCUCUGGUGUGCCAGUUGUCGUGCCAACGGCAUUGCUGGGUAGCCAUCGUCUGGCAGAGAUAACCGCUGAAAGCAUCUAAGUGGGAAACUCGCCUCAAGAUAAGAUCCCUCAUCCCAUUAAGGGAGUAAGAUCACAGGUAGACUACCUGUUUGAUAGGCGGCGUGUGUAAGCACAGUAAUGUGUUAAGCUAAGCCGUACUAAUGAUCGAGGGCUUCAUUGC